GCAGGCGGCGCAUUCCUAAAAGCCUACAAUCGGCAUUAAGAACAAGCGAUAACCAACAAACCUUCGCCCAAAGCAAAAACAACCGUUCUCUUUUUCCUCUGCAAGUUUGUCCUGCCUGUAGGCCGCCGCUGACGCUGCUUCUACCUUUAAGCACAGUUCUCUCCUCGCCCACCGGCCAGCCCAGCAGCCUGUGCGGCAAUAGCCGCACCCCCUUUCCAUCCCGACCCACUAAGGCUGAGCUUCGUCACUGCCCGCCUCCUUUUCCUUCUAAGCCCGCCGAUUCUGCCCGACAAAAGCAGGCUCGAAAGAGCCUUUCGUUCCCAGGUCGAUUACAGCUUAUGGCGACCCUAUGAAUCAGUCACCUCCAAGAGCAUCUGUCGUGAACUGCCCUGUUCAGAUCUUGUGCAGAAAUGGGCAUAACCUGUCUAACUUGACGUAUGAUGACAGAGGAUUACAGAUAACUCUCAUUGCCCUGCUUUUCGAUUGGGGCUAUUAUCAGUCAACCAUGAUUGAUCUCUUAAGAGUGGUGGGAAUUUUAUGGGUUAUAACUGGA
Rhineura floridana is the source of this 553-nucleotide long non-coding RNA. RefSeq lists it as uncharacterized. NCBI's taxonomy places the organism in Eukaryota, Metazoa, Chordata, Lepidosauria, Squamata, Rhineuridae. The record is from RefSeq and is a predicted model, not a curated record. The transcript has 3 exons.